UACAGAGGGUGCAAGCGUUGCUCGGAAUUAUUGGGCGUAAAGGGUAGGUAGGUGGUCUUGUUUGUCUGGGGUGAAAGCCUUGAGCUUAACUCAAGAAGUGCCUCAGAAACGGCAAGACUAGAGUACUGGAGAGGGUCGUGGAAUUCCCGGUGUAGCGGUGAAAUGCGUAGAGAUCGGGAGGAACACCAGAGGCGAAGGCGGCGACCUGGACAGUAACUGACACUCAACUACGAAAGCGUGGGGAGCAAACAGG
Molecule: ribosomal RNA, 253 nt
Filed under: uncultured bacterium
Lineage: Bacteria
Description: partial 16S ribosomal RNA
Rfam family: Bacterial small subunit ribosomal RNA
Source: RNAcentral